GCUGGAUUCGACAUCAUAGUCACGAGCUUAACAGUUCUUGUUUCUUACACCUUCAUUCUCUCCAGCAUCCUCGGCAUCAGCACCACAGAGGGGAGAUCCAAAGCCUUCAGCACCUGCAGCUCCCACCUUGCAGCCGUGGGAAUGUUCUAUGGAUCAACUGCAUUCAUGUACUUAAAACCCUCCACAAUCAGUUCCUUGACCCAGGAGAAUGUGGCCUCUGUGUUCUACACCACGGUAAUCCCCAUGUUGAAUCCCCUAAUCUACAGCCUGAGGAACAAGGAAGUAAAGGCUGCCGUGCAGAAAACGCUGAGGGGUUGUCUCUGCACUGCCAUGCUCAUCAGAAUCUUGUUGCUUGUGCACAUGGCUGCAGACCCUAUGAUCUCAGAAGCCCUGCUGCCAACAAAAUGGGCAAGUUCAUAGCUGUGGGCUUGCCGCUGCUGCUGAUGUCCCUGGCCCAGGAGUUUUCCAGUGUGUUGCUGCCACUACCCGGUGCAGCAGGGGUAGACUACACUACCUUAUUCCUCUCAUUGCAUGGGAUCUGGAGUAAGACAGCUACUCUUUCUGUUGGUACAGUAAGGCAAAAAAAAA
This 588-nucleotide small RNA is filed under the name Pan troglodytes (chimpanzee). RNAcentral describes it as "processed transcript". Lineage: Eukaryota; Metazoa; Chordata; Mammalia; Primates; Hominidae. The record is from RNAcentral.